CCGGUCUUCUAAGCACCCAAUCCUUCCUCUCCUUCCCCGUGUAUGUAGAGGGAUAGGGGCCUGUUGAGUUGUGUUGUUUCACUUUGUCCACGCACUACUUUCUCUGCCAUCUGAUAGCCUCGUCAAAAUCGAGAUUUCCCUGGUGGAGAUGGAGGAUGUAGAAGCCGCGCUCCUAAGGGCGGGGAUAGCGGCGGACCCUGAUCUUGAAGCAGCGAUGCAAGCUCCUGUUACUGUUAUGCUGGGUCCCUCGGCCCUCCUCCUCCGGGAACUCGAUUCUUCCGGACAGAGUCUUCUCGGUGCGGAGGAGCUUCGUCUUCUUAGAGAUGCUCUCAGCGAAGUAUGCAUCCCCCUGAAGAAUAUGUCGGAAGAUGACGGCGCUAGCUUCAUGGCCAGGUGGUGGAUGAAGAUAGUUCGGGAGCUUUGUUAUGACACGCAGGAUUACCUCAACUUCGUCCAAAGUGCUCGAGAUCGUCGUGAUUUUUCAGAGUUGCCUGAUCGUGCCAAGGCUGUUUAUUCAGGCUUACUUGCUCGUGCCAUGGAUGCGAGGGAAAGACGCAGAGGUUUCCAGUGGUCUCCCAAGACCGCCAGGCCUGACACGCAGGAAGCCCGCGACCGCCGCAUCUCCAAAAUAUUGGCCCGGAUGCCGGGUUCCUUCGGUGUCCGUAGUACCACACCCGGUGCCGUGGUCGUGGAGGCCCCAAACAAGCUUGUCGAGCUGCUAGCUUUAGACGACGAUGUCGACGACAAGACACUCAAGGUGAUACCUAUAAUUGGAUGUGCAGGUGUUGGAAAGACAACAGCUGCCAGAACCUUGUAUCACAAGCAUGGAGGGAAAUUUCAGUGCCGGGCUUUCGUAAGUGUGUCUCCAAAUCCAGAUAUGAGGGGGAUCCUCACCAGCAUGCUCUCACAACUCAAGGCACCAAGACCCCCUGGUUUUCCUGAUGUGCUGGACCUUAUUGGUGCUAUCAGCAAGCAUCUCCAAGGCAAAGGGUACUUCAUCGUACUUGAUGAUUUAUGGACUGCAUCCGUAUGGCAUAUUGUUAGCCGCGCUUUUCCUCGUGGUGAUCAACGCAGCAGAAUAAUAACAACUACACAAGUGCAUGACGUAGCGCUGGCAUGCUCUGGUUAUCACUCGGUCCGUAUAUAUAAGAUGGAACUUCUUGAUGAAUAUGAAUCUCGAAAGUUAUUCUUCCGUGGGGUGUUUAGCUCUGCCCCUGGGGCUGGUUGUUCUCCAGCUACCAAAGAAGUCUCAUACGAGAUUAUCAGAAAAUGUGAAGGUUUGCCAUUAGCAAUUGUAAGUAUAGCCGGUCUGUUAGCAAGCGAAUCAAGAAUCGUCAUGGAAGAUUGGAAGAACAUACAGAAUUCUUUUUCCUCUACUUCCGAAGGGAUGAACGAUGUUUUAAACCUUAUCUACAAUAGUCUUCCACCUGGUUUGAGGACAUGCUUGCUAUAUCUGAGUAUGUAUCCACAGGGCUACGUGAUGAAGAAGGCUGAGUUGGUGAGGCACUGGGUAGCCGAAGGUUUUUUCGGUGAUGUGGAAGGGACAGUCACAUUGAAAAUUGCUGAGUGUUAUUUUGAUGAGCUUGUCAGCAGAGCAAUGGUCCAAGCAGUGGACACCAAUCAUAUUGGUGAGGUGUUGUCAUGUACGGUUCACCAUUUGGUACUGGAUUUUAUUAGGUCCAAAUCCUUGGAUGAGAAUUUUGUCACCACUGUGGACUAUUCUGAAUCAAUUCUAGCAAACACUGACAAAGUUCGUCGAUUAUCCAUCCAGUUUGGAGGGGUAAAAAGCGCAUACAUUCCAGAAACCAUCGUAACAUCGAAAGUUCGGUCACUUGCAUAUUGGGGUUUCUUCAAGUGUGCGCCUCCUUCCAUUAUGGAUUAUGGAUUUCUUCGUAUUCUGAAUCUUCAUAUUUGGGCUGAUGAAGACAAUGAGAUUUUUGACCUCAUUGGAAUCACAAAGCUUUCUCUUCUGAAGUAUCUCAAGAUUGAAUGUAAUAUCACCGUCAAACUUCCAGACAGGAUUGGAAUGCUCCGAUACUUGGAGACACUGGAAGUAGAUGCAAGAUUGUUUGCUGUUCCAUCAGAUAUGGAUAAUCUGGAGAGGUUACUGCACCUUCGCCUUCCGAGCGAGUCUAUUCUGCCCCAAGAAGUUGCCCGCGUGAGAUCUGUACGCUCUCUGGGGUAUCUUGACCUUAGCUAUUGCUCACCACUGAAUUUGUUAGAUCUUGUACGGCUGACCAAUCUCCAGGAUCUUCACCUCACCUGUUAUACUGUUCAGCCAGCUCACCUUCCGAGCGAGUCUAUUCUGCCUCAAGGAGUAGCCCACAUGUCAUCUCAUCGCAUGUCAUAUUUUGGUAUCAUCCGUUCCAUAACAUGGAAUUAUAACCUCCAGGAUCUCGAGCCCACCUGUUCUAUGGUACAGGGAGCAGAAACUCUGAAAAAGAAUGUGCAAAUCUUAGGCUCGAUUGUUGAGAAGUUUAGCUACUUGCACACCAUAACUUUGGUGCCUGCUUCAGUCUCCUCUCAUGAGGAUGAUGCUCAGGCUGCACCUGCAAGCAUAAUUAUUCCCCCUGAUGGCUUUGACAUGGCGUCUCCUCCUCCAGACCUGCUUCUACAGAGGAUCGAGCUGUCGCGACACUGCUGCAUCUUCUUCUGCAUACCUAAGUGGUUUGGAGAGCUAAGGAAACUCUGCAUCCUAAAGAUUGCAAUUAGGAGUCUGUCGAGGAGUGAUAUCGAGAUCCUGGAAAGAAUGCCGGCCCUCGCUGCUCUCACCCUGCACAAUCAGACAACUCCCACAGAAAAGAUGAUCAUGACUGACGGGGGAUUCUAUAGACUCACGUGCUUCAAGUUCUUGUGCGCUGCACCAUGCCUGUCAUUUGCACAGGGAGCAAUGCGCAGACUCCAAAAGCUCAACCUAGGAUUCAACUCAAAAGAAUGGAGAUCGGAUACCAUUGAAACUGUUGGCUUGAGUCACUUGAGAAGCCUUACGGAUGUAUGUGUAAGACUUGGUGCUGGGGCUGCUGACAACUUCAACGUAAAAGUUGCCGAGUCGGCAUUGGAGGCUGUCGUCAGGAAUCACCCCAACUCUCCCAGGAUCAGAAUAAAACUUGCGGAUGUGAUUUUUAUGGUGAGGAGGAUGAGAGGACCGUGACUCGCGAGAAUCAGGAAGGCAAGGAAAGCAGGUCUGCGAGAGGCCAAGAUGCAACAAGGGGCGAGCAUCAACAACGGCGAUCACCAAUGGCCGCACCGACGCACUACAAAGCCGCGCCAAGGAGCUCAGCAAUGCAGGCUGGAGCGUCAACAAAGGCAGUAUCAGGAAGGGAAGCAGCACCGCCUCCCACCAGCUCCAGCCCAUCAAAGCCGUUGCCAUCUUCCUCCCGCGACAGCCCACCAAGGUCGAGGCGACAUGGCUCCCGCAUCAUCCCUCCCCGACCCACGAGCCCGCCCCAACCCAAGCGCUAAGCUUUUGGUACGCUUAUUUCUUCUUCGUGCACCAAAAAGAGAAAACGCUUUUAAUGUACCAUUUACAGCCUUGCUCAAGUUUUCUAAGCUCUUAGUAUGAUUUUCCUAAGGACAUAAGAGAGUGUCGAUCUGUUCUUUCUUGUCAUGGAGUCCAUCUGCUACCUACUUUCUUCCCUCUAGAAACUCUCUUGUGCUGGAUUCUAACCUAUUCAAAGUCAGAACUGGGCACCAGGUGCUUAUUUUCAUUCAUCCCUGACCCAGGCCAGGGGUUGAGCGCAUCAUCCCGCUUAUUAGCGCUGGGGACAUCCGACAGACAGACGGUGCGUCAAGACGAUGCACCAUGCAGCGGGACGAACGAGCAUCCGAGGAGCAAUCCCCACCCUGAUGCCAUCCAAACUGAUCAGCUGUCUAAAUAUUACAGCAUCUAUUCUACAUUCGUAUGUACUGUGUUAUCUUAUAGGCUGGCAUUUUUCUCAUUGUUUUUCAAAAAGAGGAUGUAACCCUCGACCUCUGAGUGAUGCACACAGCCUCAUAGGCUGGCAUUAUACAUUUGAUACUUCUGUGACCAUGCUGCGAGCUGCAUGAUCGACAUGUUCUCGUUUGAAAUGGGGAAGACAUAAACAUAUAUGUCAUACGAGGAAAGGAGAAAAUGUUCUGUUGUAAAUAAUUAGAGAGUGCUCUGAGUGACUUACUUAGGUUUUAAGACAAAACAAAUAGGGCUUGUGG
Molecule: ribosomal RNA, 4188 nt
Filed under: Triticum aestivum (bread wheat)
Lineage: Eukaryota; Viridiplantae; Streptophyta; Magnoliopsida; Poales; Poaceae
Description: partial small subunit ribosomal RNA
Source: RNAcentral